This 206-nucleotide ribosomal RNA is filed under the name uncultured bacterium. RNAcentral describes it as "partial 16S ribosomal RNA". It matches the Rfam family "Bacterial small subunit ribosomal RNA", at positions 568 to 774 of the family's 1533-position model. The record is from RNAcentral.
CGUGUAGGCGGCUUGGCAAGUCCGUUGUGAAAGCCCACAGCUUAACUGUGGAAUUGCGAUGGAAACUACCUUGCUAGAGUGCGGGAGAGGAGAGUGGAAUUCCCAGUGUAGAGGUGAAAUUCGUAGAUACUGGGAGGAACACCGGUGGCGAAGGCGGCUCUCUGGACCGCUACUGACGCUGAGACGCGAAAGCUAGGGAGCAAACG